This is a long non-coding RNA of Mus spicilegus (steppe mouse), 1726 nucleotides long. Lineage: Eukaryota; Metazoa; Chordata; Mammalia; Rodentia; Muridae. The record is from Ensembl.
UUCCACAGUGUGAGUUGUUUCACUGUGCCCUUCCCAGUAGAUUGCUAGAAGCCUCUGAAGUUAUGAGUUGAAACAAAUCAUUUCUCCCUCAGGUUGUGUCUGUCACGUAUCUAUAACAGCAAUGAGAAAAGCAUGUAUCUUGAAUUCAGCUCACUCCACUCCACUCAACAGAUGUAUGUUGAAAACCCAAGUGCUUCCGUGCUAUGGCGGGUUAAGAGUUUACCUCGGAGUCCUGUUUAUCCAAGGCCUCACUGUCAAGAUGGUGUCUCCCAGGAUUCUCCAAACACACAUAUGCUCUGAGGAUACACUUCUGUUCGAAAUCAUAAAAUGCCUGGCACGCUGGCUAGAUAAGCGGACAGUAUUCUGUGCUCAUGGAAGACUCAGGCAGGACAGCUGAGAGAGAAGCCAGCAGGCACCUAUGAACUGUCCCUGGAAAAUGCUGGUGACUCAAGACAGAGGGAGGGGCCAGAGCAUCUAUCACACUAACUGCGUCAAAUCAUCUUGAAGAAACACGUGUCAGCCUGUGUAUGUUCUUAGAAUGAAUGUUUUGAAGAUAUUGUGAAACUGGAAGUUACUUAACCAGAGUUCUCGUCUGAAGAAUAUCUGGCCACCUUGGGAGAGACUGCCUUUACACUCUGCAAAUUACCAAUGUAGAUAAGAGGCAGUGUGGUCUAUUGGUUAAGAGGUCUGACCACCUGAGCGUGAACAAAAACUUUAACACUCACUCCUUCUGUGGCAUUGGGAUAGUUGCUUGGCCUGGGUCCUUACUUAUGAAGCAGUAAGCAUAAAACUGUGGUGACGGGGAACUGAGAUUCCAUGUAGGAUGCUCAGCGUGCUGACUGGCAUAUCAAAGCAAAGGUUAACUAGAAUCUGGAUGAUGUGGUAACAGUAUCUUAUCACCGAUAAAAAGAUACAUACAAUUGGGGAAGUUGAGUUAUCAUUAAAAGCAUGGUGUAAGCCAGUCAGAAGAAGCACAAUAUGUAUGAUUCUGCUAAUACGUGAGAUAUGUAGAGAGGUCAAAUAGAAAAAAAUGGAAACUAGAGAGGUGUUUGCUGAUGGUCAGGAGAAAGGGGUAAGGAGCUGUUGUUACACGGGUACCUAAUUCUGUCUUGCAAGAUGGAAGAGAUGGGUUAGUGAUCACUUUCACAACACCAUGAGCACAUUGAACACGAGUAACUAUGUUUUAAAUGAGCAAGGUUAUGUCGUGUGAAAAUAAUUUUUUUAUGAUUUAUUUUUAUUUAUAUUACUACAUUGUAGCUGUCUUCAUACACACACCAGAAGAGUGCAUCAGAUUCCAUUACAGAUGGUUGUGAGUCACCAUGUGGUUGCUGGGAAUUGAACUCAGGAUCUCUGGAAGAGCAGACAGUGCUCUUAACUACUGAGCCACCUCUCCAGCCCAGGAAAAUAAUUUUGUUUUCAUUUUGAGAUAAACUCCUGAUGUAGCCCAGGCUGGCCUCAAACUUACCAUCCUCUUGCCUCUGCCUCCCAAAUUCUUGGAUUACAUUACAGGUGUCACCACACUAGUCUAAAACACUUUGUUUCUAAUUGUGGUAAAAAGCACACAGCAAAAUGGGAACAUGGUAGCACAUAGAUGUAACCCCAGCUUGCUUAUCAGGAGAUAAAGAUGGGAAGAUUGUAAAUUUGAAAGUCGUCUGGCUACAGAGACUUUCGAAAUUAAAGCUAAGUAACUAAUAAAAUCUUAUUUUUCUUGAAAACUGAGUUGUUU